Meleagris gallopavo (turkey) is the source of this 385-nucleotide non-coding RNA. Lineage: Eukaryota; Metazoa; Chordata; Aves; Galliformes; Phasianidae. The record is from RefSeq and is a predicted model, not a curated record.
UGACAUGCGGCAUCGUGUGGACCCCUGGAGAUGGGGGGUUUUGGUUGGGGGGAGGGAGCAGCGAGCUGAACCCCAGCCCCCAACCCGUCCUGGUUUGCUGCUCUGACCCCUUUUCCUCCUCUUCCUCAGGGCCCCGCAGGACCCCAAGGUGCCCCCGGGCCGGCUGGCGAGGAAGGCAAGAGAGGAGCUCGUGGUGAACCUGGUGCCGCUGGCCCUGUGGGCCCCCCCGGAGAAAGGGGCGCUCCUGGCAAUCGUGGAUUCCCCGGGCAGGACGGGCUGGCCGGACCCAAGGGUGCUCCAGGUGAACGCGGCCCCGCUGGUCUCGCCGGUCCCAAAGGUGCCACCGGUGACCCCGGACGUCCCGGAGAGCCUGGGCUGCCCGGAG